Peromyscus maniculatus bairdii (prairie deer mouse) is the source of this 1391-nucleotide non-coding RNA. The record is from RefSeq and is a predicted model, not a curated record. NCBI's taxonomy places the organism in Eukaryota, Metazoa, Chordata, Mammalia, Rodentia, Cricetidae.
UGAAAUGCUGUGUCAUGAAGCUGUGACUGAAAGAUGAGUCGAGGUGAAAUAGCAUCAGAACAAACAUUCUGCUCGGAGUCUGCUGACUGCACAUUGCUCCAUGACGAACACCAACACUCAAUCAAGGCCUUGUGGGCUGUGCGUCACCUCCCUCUCUUCUUCCUUCCUGUCAGAAAACAAUGAACUCACCAUUUCACUGAUUUGAAAAGCAUUUCGACAUCAGUAGUGGAACCUAGGGUAUUGCCAGAGACUACGGAGUGCCUUUCACACCUUGGAGCCAAACCAUAUUGUGCUUGCUAUUGGCCCUCAGGCCCAGAAAGAUAAAGAUGUCUUUCUAAGUUUGGCAUGGAACUUCCAUCCACCUACCUCUCAUCUGGGGCAGUGUCCUCCAUUUUGACUGGUAUUUCUGGAUCCAUGUGGUCAUCGCCUCUGUGGAUCUGGGCAUUGCUCCCACCUGUGAUUUCACCCAUCCCUUCAGGUCCAGUUCUGUUUACGGAGCUUCUCUCCCUCCGUCGGGGCUUACCCAAGAACAACUCAACUGCCUUUUUUGGGAAACAGUCACCAGCUCCACGGAUCCCAGAGUGUCCAGUUGUCAUCUCUGGCAGGAAUCCUAACUGUAAAUGUUAGCUUUGGCGGUGUGCCAGUUCAAGACUUCAAAAUUGCUCUGCCCCCGGCCCCAGUUCAGGAGCCACACUGUGCCGAGGGUCAGCUUCCUAAGCUUGCUUCCUUUUCUGAUCCUGCCUGUCGCGGGCCAAAGGCACGUGGCAGAUUCGGCAUUAUUGCUCUGCAGUGCGGUCCUUAGCACGCCCUCCUUCCAACACAGCAUCCGGGGAGAGGAAGGUGGAAGGAUAAAGUGGGACUCCGAGAAAGCAGUGAGCCCUUCUGGCCUCUGAGUAUUCCACUGUGAAGGCGAUAAUAGGUUUUAACUUCACCCGAUUGUCAGGAGGAUUAAAUGGGUAAGUGUAUGGCACAGAAUCAUGCAGUACACAUUAUUGGGGUCUCCUAGCCUUCCCAGUUGCCCACUCCAAUUACUAAGUUUUCACACUUGUGUACCUGAACAGUUUACAAACUUAGCUCCUAAAAUCUCCUCUGCGGUAUUCGUCGCUGAGCUCCCCCAGAUGGUCCACGGACAGUGGACAAUUUCUAUUAUUAGCGCAGUGUCCAUGAAAGCGGUUCUCACAGGUGAGCUCGGGCAUCUCUGACAGUCUAUGUCCAAGAGCUGAUGACUCCAGGAAAGUCUGAAAUCAGAGUAAGCUUUGGCUGAGCGCGGGUUACGCACCCGACAUUAGGCCAGGUCAUGUAAGACAAACGUGUCCCAAUGUCCUGCGGCAGGUAGUGUUGAGAAUCAGAACUAUGUUUCUGUACUUCCUUUAAAUACCUAGUAAAAAUGG